UUCUAUUCCGGGUUUGUUCUUAUUAUGGUGCUCUUUAUGCAUUUAGGAUUCUUCGUUCAAUCCACUGUCUGACUUCUUGGGGUGUUUUGUAGAAAUUCCAUCUAUUAUCGCCAUAUACACUUAGAGUCGCUGAGGAGAUCCAACGGAAUUUAAUGUUAUGAGAUUUUAAUAUAGUAAUCUCAGCAGAGAAACUUCUUCUUCGUAAUCUUGUUAUAUAAGAAUAAUCUUGGAAUACGAGUAUAUUUCUCAGCUGAGUUUCUAGCUGAUUUGGGGAUCUACUUGCUUUGAAGACUUGGUCUUUUAUCUUAAAGGAAGAAAAAUGUACUAUUACAUCCCUUGGGACACUUUGUGCAAUUCCCCUUGGUUUAGGGAGUCUAUGCCAUUUAUUCAUUAGGAAUGGAUAUAAUGUAAUGUGGACUCCCAAUUUUUCAAAAAAUUCCUCCAAGAAUGUUUUUAGUUCUUCAUCCUUUACUUCUUCCUCUAUAUUUCGAAAUCUGAGGUUCUGUCUUCUGGCACGAUCUUCUAUGAUUCAAAAAUUGCUUGUCCCUUUUUUUAAUAAUUGAUUAGUCUCAUCCUUCUCAGCAAGUCUGUGUUCCAUUUGAUUUAAACGUAAACUUAAAUUCUCAAUCUCUUGUUUAAUACCCAAGGCGCUAGAUUUAAUUUCAUCCUUAAGUGUUUCCACCAUGGAUGUAUACACUCUUUUAAAAAGACUUGUGUUACAAAUUGAUCUUCAGAUUCUUGGGAGGUCUCUAGUAAUUUCUGGGGCACUUUUUCGGUAUUGGCAAUCAUAGAGUUUUCUUUUGUGGCAACUGGUGAAUAAAAUCCCGGUGGAUUCUUGUCGAGUUUAUUCUCUUUUUUGUUCCUUCUUGUAGCCUGGCCUUUAGUCGCCAUUCUAGCUACUCACUUUUCCUUUCUCCUUCUUUUU
Pelobates cultripes (western spadefoot toad) is the source of this 925-nucleotide non-coding RNA. The record is from the annotation of a GenBank genome assembly. Lineage: Eukaryota; Metazoa; Chordata; Amphibia; Anura; Pelobatidae.